AUCAGGAGUUGGAUGCUUAGCAGACGGAGCCACCUGGGCACACCUACAGAUUUCUGUUUCUAACUAUCAGUGAUUAAAAAUGUUAUUAAGGAACAUGAGUGUCAGAUCUACCAGGUCUACGGAAUGUGAAAGACGUAUUCAUACCAUGCGGGUAACGAGCCUCUUCUCCAAAGCGAUUUCCUUUCAUGCAACACAACAAGCAUGUGGUCAACUGGAUAAUGAGUGAGUGACAGGAGGACCCAGAACACUUUUACCACUGGUUAACAGAACUUGUUUUAUACUUUUCAACGGAAGAACGGGGUAGAGAUAAUAUUGGGAAA
Molecule: long non-coding RNA, 320 nt
Organism: Suricata suricatta (meerkat)
Lineage: Eukaryota; Metazoa; Chordata; Mammalia; Carnivora; Herpestidae
Exons: 3
Source: RefSeq, a predicted model, not a curated record